GUUGUGCUAAUAAAUAUAAGAUACCGUUUUAUUUAACCCAGUAGACAACGUUUUUGGAUUGAUUAUAGUAUAUUCUAUAUUUCUAGUUGUUAGUGAAAACCACACGCUGUGCACUUCGUGCGACUUACACAUCUGCUCAUCACUAAUUUAGAGUAAGGUGAGAAGUUUGCCCCGAACUUGGACUGGCAGGCAGGUUUGCCUAUUAGGCAGAUAAUAAAACACCUCUCCGAAAACCCGCCUUCUCAGUUACAUCACAAAAGAAACACGCCUUCUAAGGGCAAAAGCUGCCUGUUUCCACUAUCUCACAUUCAAACUGAAAACUACGUGCCAAGGUUUUGCAGCAGAACAGAGUUGGAAUGAAAAAGGUAGGAUGUUUUAUUCAUCUACUCAGUUUUUAGCA
Long non-coding RNA from Polyodon spathula (Mississippi paddlefish), 400 nucleotides. RefSeq lists it as uncharacterized. The record is from RefSeq and is a predicted model, not a curated record. The transcript is spliced from 3 exons. NCBI's taxonomy places the organism in Eukaryota, Metazoa, Chordata, Actinopteri, Acipenseriformes, Polyodontidae.